GUGGCCGUAGCACUCCGCUGCCAGUUGUCCGGAGAGUGGCAGAUAAUUCGUAUCGGGGGAAACAUUUACUAAAUCUUCUGCCAGCUGAAGUCAUGAGCAUCUGGUCCGAGAAACCUCUCCCAUGUCCACACAAAGAUUGACCCCUGCAUGCCUCUUCUCGCUCUCCACUGAAGCAUUCUGUUUCUAAGAAACCUGAUGAAGAAUGAAUAAUUGCUGAACAAAAGAAAUCACCCUCAUUGUGG
Molecule: long non-coding RNA, 242 nt
Organism: Thunnus maccoyii (southern bluefin tuna)
Lineage: Eukaryota; Metazoa; Chordata; Actinopteri; Scombriformes; Scombridae
Exons: 4
Source: RefSeq, a predicted model, not a curated record